This is a non-coding RNA of Marchantia paleacea, 75 nucleotides long. Lineage: Eukaryota; Viridiplantae; Streptophyta; Marchantiopsida; Marchantiales; Marchantiaceae. The record is from the annotation of a GenBank genome assembly.
GUCCGUUGUAGUCUAGUUGGUUAGGAUACUCGGCUCCCACCCGAGCGACCCGGGUUCAUGUCCCGGCUAUGGGUC